This 318-nucleotide ribosomal RNA is filed under the name uncultured bacterium. RNAcentral's name for it is "bacterial SSU rRNA". It matches the Rfam family "Bacterial small subunit ribosomal RNA", at positions 454 to 775 of the family's 1533-position model. The record is from RNAcentral.
CGCGUGCCGUCCUGAGGGUACCCGGAGAAAAAGCAUCGGCUAACUCCGUGCCAGCAGCCGCGGUAAUACGUAUGGGGCAAGCGUUAUCCGGAUUUACUGGGUGUAAAGGGAGCGUAGGCGGCCUGGCAAGCCUGAUGUGAAAUACCGGGGCCCAACCCCGGGGCUGCAUUGGGAACUGCCAGGCUGGAGUGCCGGAGAGGCAGGCGGAAUUCCUAGUGUAGCGGUGAAAUGCGUAGAUAUUAGGAGGAACACCAGUGGCGAAGGCGGCCUGCUGGACGGUGACUGACGCUGAGGCUCGAAAGCGUGGGGAGCAAACAG